RNAcentral lists this ribosomal RNA (253 nucleotides) under uncultured bacterium. RNAcentral's name for it is "partial 16S ribosomal RNA". It matches the Rfam family "Bacterial small subunit ribosomal RNA", at positions 524 to 776 of the family's 1533-position model. The record is from RNAcentral.
UACGAGUGCCCCAAGCGUUAUCCGGAAUUAUUGGGCGUAAAGGGUGUGUAGGUGGUCUUAUUAGUCUUUUGUUAAAGCUCCCGGCUUAACCGGGAAUCUGCAAAGGAAACGGUAAGACUAGAGGAUGCGAGGGGUGAGCGGAACUCAUGGUGUAGGGGUGAAAUCCGUUGAUAUCAUGGGGAACACCAGUGGCGAAGGCGACUCUCUGGACUAAAACUGACGCUGAGGUACGAAAGCGUGGGUAGCAAACAGG